Molecule: ribosomal RNA, 217 nt
Filed under: uncultured Ruminococcus sp.
Lineage: Bacteria; Bacillati; Bacillota; Clostridia; Eubacteriales; Oscillospiraceae
Description: partial 16S ribosomal RNA
Source: RNAcentral
GGAGUCUGGACCGUUUCUCAGUUCCAAUGUGGCCGUUCAACCUCUCAGUUCGGCUAAUGAUCGUAGAUUUGGUAGGCCGUUACCCUGCCAACUGUCUAAUCAUACGCGAGCCCAUCGUACAGCAAUAAAUCUUUGACACAGAUACCAUGCGAUCUCCGUGUGUCAUGCGGUAUUAGCACAAGUUUCCCUGUGUUAUCCCCCACUAUACGGCAGGUUG